This is a non-coding RNA of Podarcis lilfordi (Lilford's wall lizard), 1595 nucleotides long. NCBI's taxonomy places the organism in Eukaryota, Metazoa, Chordata, Lepidosauria, Squamata, Lacertidae. The record is from the annotation of a GenBank genome assembly.
GGCUAUCUUCCUGCUGGGCCUCACCCGCAAAAAUGCUCCUUGCUGGGACCUCUCCAUGGCUGGGUAGAGGAAAAAGAUGAAAUCCAGAGGAAGCUGGACUAGUUGACCCCUGGAAACCCUUCCCACCUCUACAAUCCUAUGAUUUUAUGACUCCAUGAGGUCAUUUCAAGACACAUUGGGGGUCUGUGGCCAGUUGAAAUCCAUUGUGGUCAGUGUCCCAACUAAAACAAGCUGGUUAUCUAAAAUGAUGGAAUGCUUCCAUAUUGCCAAACUAACAGGGAGGAUAAGAGGCGAUAUGGUACAAAAAGUGAAUAAGGAGUGGGUUAUCUUUAAGGAAUACAUCAAAAUUUAUGUGGAAAAAGUAGAAUUUCUGACCGAUACUGAGUGAAUCCAGAAAAUGUUUAGAGCGAAAGGAGAGUAAAGUCAAGCUAGAAGAAGAGAUUAAAGAAAUAAUGAAAUGCGUUUAAGCUAGCUGGAAAAAUAAAGUAGCGUAACAAGAACGGCUGGAAGUCAAGUCACUUGGUGGGUGUCUGUAUGGGGUAGGUGUGUAGGUAUGUUGAUAUGUACAGUAUAGGUAGGUAUUAUAUAGAGUAAUGUAGGUAUGUUUUAUGUUAUGAAAAUUAGGUAGUGUGUUGUGUAUGUGUAAUGUGUAAAUGUAUAUGUAUGUGUUUUAUAUGUUAAUAAAAUUAAAAUUAAAAAAAUUAAAAAAGGGAAAAAAAGAAAUCCAUUGUGGUCACAGGCAGCAAUGUGGAAAAGAGCCGUCUCUAAAUCACCGUGAACAAAACAGACCUCUGCUCAAUUUCGCUUGCUAAAUAAAUGCUUGCUGAGAUAAAAGGGUUUUUCUUUCUUUUGCAGCAGUUCCAAAAUGUAUUCAGGCUUGGCGUUUGACCUCUAAAAGAAAGGGAGCGCUGGAGCUCCAGAACAGAGAAUGAAUGGAUUAAUUAAAUUUAAAAGGAUACAGUUUAAUCAGUCGAGUCCUGCGAGCCGCUUACUGCUGCCACUGCAGCCUUUGCCAGCUUGGAGUCUUCCAGACGUUUGCGACAAUGGCUGCUGUCAGCCAGCCCAGCGAUGCUGACUGAGGCUGAUGGGAUUUGUAGUCCAGAACAGCAGCAGCAAAACAAGAAGUGAUUUAGGGCUGGCCUUUCGGAACCCUUUUAUCUCCUCUGGGCCAUUACAGCCUGCCUCUUCAGUCAUAUAUACCAAAGGCAGGUGCUUAGAGUGACCCAUAAAGGCUUUUACGAGUAAGAGUGCCGCUGACAACAGCCCACAUCAAUCCAGCGUUUUAUCCAUCCCCGAACAACCGCUCUCUUGCGACACAAACAAUGUAGCAAUUUCGGUUGGGAAACAGCCUUUUUGUCCGCCUUUUAUUUAUAUGAACUACCCUAGAGUUUCAUCAGCCCCACCAGCUGCAUCCUUUGAUCCUGCAGAGCGUACAACUGCAGGCGGCGUCUCCUUCCUUAUGUUCCACUGCAAUCAAAAGAGCAUUGUGCUACAAAUGCCCAACAUCCUUUCUCUCCCCCAAAUCUCCAUUUCCCCUGUUUUACUUCUGGUGAACUCAAAAGCUUCAUCGCUGCUUCGUGGCUCCUCUGUCGGCC